RNAcentral lists this ribosomal RNA (274 nucleotides) under uncultured bacterium. RNAcentral's name for it is "partial 16S ribosomal RNA". It matches the Rfam family "Bacterial small subunit ribosomal RNA", at positions 523 to 796 of the family's 1533-position model. The record is from RNAcentral.
AUACGGAGGGUCCAAGCGUUAUCCGGAUUCAUUGGGUUUAAAGGGUCCGCAGGCGGGAAAAUAAGUCGGUGGUGAAAGCCUACAGCUCAACUGUGGAACUGCCAUUGAUACUGUUUUUCUUGAGUAUAGAUGAAGUGGGCGGAAUAUAUCAUGUAGCGGUGAAAUGCAUAGAUAUGAUAUAGAACACCGAUUGCGAAGGCAGCUCACUAAACUAUUACUGACGCUCAGGGACGAAAGCGUGGGGAGCGAACAGGAUUAGAAACCCCAGUAGUCC